GAUGAUAGAUCUGUAGGGUUAAAUGCAUCAAAUGGUCACUUGACUAUACAUAUAUAUAUACAUAAUAAUAGUGUUCAUCGUCUUCCCCCUUUCUCUUCUCUCUUUCUCUCGGAUGAGGCUAUGACGAUAACGAUUUUUCAGUGGUUCUCACCGAUCAGAACUUCCGGAGACGGAGAAAGCGUAGUACCAAUAUGUUACCUGGCUGGGCAACAUUUUCACCCGAGCGCGGCU
This 231-nucleotide long non-coding RNA is filed under the name Linum usitatissimum (flax). RNAcentral's name for it is "long non-coding RNA (LUSI_LNC000984)". The record is from RNAcentral. Lineage: Eukaryota; Viridiplantae; Streptophyta; Magnoliopsida; Malpighiales; Linaceae.